This 337-nucleotide long non-coding RNA is filed under the name Pan troglodytes (chimpanzee). RNAcentral's name for it is "long non-coding RNA NONPTRT006080". Lineage: Eukaryota; Metazoa; Chordata; Mammalia; Primates; Hominidae. The record is from RNAcentral.
AAGAAGGCAGGGGCCAUGGGACCCAGAGUUCUCAGCAGUCCCUCUCAGCCCCACUCCCUGGGCUCAGGGGUGUGGGGCCUGGCUGCAAUACCCGGGAGAUUGCUGACAAACUGAUUGAGCUCAAGGCAGAGAUCGAGGAGCUGCAGCAGCGGGAGCAAGAACUAGACCAGCACAAGGUGUGGGUGCAGCAGAGCAUCCGGAACGUCACAGAGGACGUGCAGAACAGCUGUUUGGCCUACGUCACUCAUGAGGACAUCUGCAGAUGCUUUGCUGGAGAUACCCUCUUGGCCAUCCGGGCCCCAUCAGGCACCAGCCUGGAGGUGCCCAUCCCAGAGGU